RNAcentral lists this ribosomal RNA (266 nucleotides) under uncultured eukaryote. RNAcentral's name for it is "partial 18S ribosomal RNA". It matches the Rfam family "Eukaryotic small subunit ribosomal RNA", at positions 624 to 886 of the family's 1831-position model. The record is from RNAcentral.
AAGCUCGUAGUUGAAUUUCGGUAAAUAAAAAUUUAACAUCCAUCUCUAAGAUGUGAUUUAAUUUUUAUUUCCUUCCUUUUGAAUACACUCCUUAAAUUAUUUUAAGGGUAAAGUGUUUCAAAUCGUUUACUGUGAAGAAAUUAGAGUGUUCAAAGCAGGCGUAACCUAGCCUUUGAAUAUAUUAGCAUGGGAUAAUGAAAUAGGACUUUAGUCCUACUUUACGUUGGUUUCUAGGGCUGAAGUAAUGAUUAAUAGGGAUAGUUGGG